Molecule: non-coding RNA, 72 nt
Organism: Trichonephila clavipes
Lineage: Eukaryota; Metazoa; Arthropoda; Arachnida; Araneae; Nephilidae
Source: the annotation of a GenBank genome assembly
GUAUCCAUGGUGUAGUGGUUAUCACAUCCCCUAACACGCGGAAGGUCCCUGGUUCAAAACCUGGUGGGUACA